Molecule: ribosomal RNA, 896 nt
Filed under: uncultured archaeon
Lineage: Archaea
Description: SSU rRNA
Rfam family: Archaeal small subunit ribosomal RNA
Source: RNAcentral
GUGCCAGCCGCCGCGGUAAUACCAGCUCCGCGAGUGGUCGGGGUGCUUACUGGGCCUAAAGCGCCCGUAGCCGGCCCGGUAAGUCGUCCCUGAAAUCCACGGGCUCAACCCGUGGGCUGGGGACGAUACUGCCGGGCUUGGGGGCGGGAGAGGCCGAGGGUACUCCCGGGGUAGGGGCGAAAUCCGUAGAUCCCGGGAGGACCACCAGUGGCGAAGGCGCCCCGCUAGAACGCGCCCGACGGUGAGAGGCGAAAGCCGGGGCAGCAAAAGGGAUUAGAUACCCCUGUAGUCCCGGCUGUAAACGAUGCCGGCUAGGUGUCGCGUGGGCUUAGAGCCCACGCGGUGCCGCAGGGAAGCCGUUAAGCCGGCCGCCUGGGGAGUACGGCCGCAAGGCUGAAACUUAAAGGAAUAGGCGGGGGAGCACCACAAGGGGUGGAACCUGCGGCUCAAUUGGAGUCAACACCUGGAAGCUUACCGGGGGAGACCGCAGGAUGACGGCCAGGCUAACGACCUUGCCUGACUCGCGGAGAGGAGGUGCAUGGCCGUCGCCAGUUCGUGUUGUGAAAUGUCCGGUUAAGUCCGGCAACGAGCGAGACCCCCACCCCUAGUUGGUACCCUGGCCUCCGGGCCAGGGCCACACUAGGGGGACUGCCGCCGUAAGGCGGAGGAAGGAGGGGGCCACGGCAGGUCAGCAUGCCCCGAAACCCCCGGGCCGCACGCGGGUUACAAUGGCAGGGACAGCGGGAUCCUGCCCCGAGAGGGGUGGGCAAUCCCUAAACCCUGCCUCAGUUGGGAUCGAGGGCUGCAACUCGCCCUCGUGAACGAGGAAUCCCUAGUAACCGCAGGUCACCAACCUGCGGUGAAUACGUCCCUGCUCCUUGCACACACCGCCCGUC